CGUUGCCCUGUCACCCAGCAGAGACCUCUGACCCAGAGGAGGAGAUGCGCACCCAGCCAGAGAAACCUUCCUGCAAGAAGUUGGACGUCACUUGGCCCCCUCCCAGCCCUUCUGAGACCUCCCAGGUGAACGGCCUCCACCAGCUGGAGAGAAGCCCUCGAAUGUUCCGUCGCCAGAGGAGUGCCUUAAUUCAGCGCUGGGAGUCCGGGGCUGUUGGCAACCAGGAGAGCCAGGAUUAGGGGCUGCCACAGCAUGAAGCGGCAGUGGGUCGCAUCUCC
This is a long non-coding RNA of Elgaria multicarinata webbii, 278 nucleotides long. RefSeq lists it as uncharacterized. The transcript is spliced from 3 exons. NCBI's taxonomy places the organism in Eukaryota, Metazoa, Chordata, Lepidosauria, Squamata, Anguidae. The record is from RefSeq and is a predicted model, not a curated record.